This 468-nucleotide ribosomal RNA is filed under the name uncultured bacterium. RNAcentral's name for it is "partial 16S ribosomal RNA". It matches the Rfam family "Bacterial small subunit ribosomal RNA", at positions 28 to 507 of the family's 1533-position model. The record is from RNAcentral.
GACGAACGCUGGCGGCGUGCUUAACACAUGCAAGUCGAACGGAAAGGCCCUGCUUUUGUGGGGUGCUCGAGUGGCGAACGGGUGAGUAACACGUGAGUAACCUGCCCUUGACUUUGGGAUAACUUCAGGAAACUGGGGCUAAUACCGGAUAGGAGCUCCUGCUGCAUGGUGGGGGUUGGAAAGUUUCGGCGGUUGGGGAUGGACUCGCGGCUUAUCAGCUUGUUGGUGGGGUAGUGGCUUACCAAGGCUUUGACGGGUAGCCGGCCUGAGAGGGUGACCGGCCACAUUGGGACUGAGAUACGGCCCAGACUCCUACGGGAGGCAGCAGUGGGGAAUAUUGCACAAUGGGCGGAAGCCUGAUGCAGCAACGCCGCGUGCGGAAUGACGGCCUUCGGGUUGUAAACCGCUUUCGCCUGUGACGAAGCGUGAGUGACGGUAAUGAGUAAAGAAGCACCGGCUAACUACGUG